AAAAAUAUCAAAAAUUUUAAUUCUUAAACGUCCGAAAAAUAUAAAAAUCAAGGAAAAUACAUAAAAAUACGUUAAAAAAAUCCAGAAUCGCACCAGUCAACUUAUAAUAUCGAUACAAAUAGAAUAUCAAAAUUUCAAAUUUUUUCGUGACUGCCCAAAAAAUAUAAAAAAUAUUAAUUCGUAAACGUCGAAAAAAGAUAAAAAUCAAGAAAAGGACAUUAAAACAUCUCAAAAAAUUCCUGAAUCACACCAGUCACCUUUGAAUAUUGAAAUUUUUUUCGUGACUGCCCAAAAUAUAUCAAAAAUUUAAAUUUGUCAAUGUCUGAAAAAUAUAAAAAUCAAGAAAAAUAUACAAAAACACCUCAAAAAGUUUCUGAAUCGCACCAGUCAACUUAGAAUAUCGUUACAAAUAGAAUAUCAAAAUUAACCAUUUUUUCGUGACUUCCUGAAAAAUAUAAAAAUCAAGAAAAGAACAUAAAAACACCUCAAUUAAUUCUCGAAUCGUACCAAUUACUUUGGAAUACCGAUACUAAUAAUAUAUCAAAUUUUCACAUUUUUUUGUCAUUACCCAAAAAAUAUCAAAAAUUUUAAUUCGUAAACAUUUGAAAAAUAUAGAAAUCAAGAUAA
This 627-nucleotide long non-coding RNA is filed under the name Solanum tuberosum (potato). RNAcentral describes it as "long non-coding RNA (STUB_LNC002514)". Lineage: Eukaryota; Viridiplantae; Streptophyta; Magnoliopsida; Solanales; Solanaceae. The record is from RNAcentral.